This is a long non-coding RNA of Cylas formicarius (sweet potato weevil), 465 nucleotides long. RefSeq lists it as uncharacterized. The record is from RefSeq and is a predicted model, not a curated record. The transcript has 3 exons. NCBI's taxonomy places the organism in Eukaryota, Metazoa, Arthropoda, Insecta, Coleoptera, Brentidae.
CAAUUUUCAGUGUGAACAGUACAAGGGAUUUUUUUAAAGAAACAAUUCAAAAUUCAGGAAGCCAGUAACGUGCCGCUUCCGCAGCUGUGUACGAUCAAUGAAAAUCGCGUUGAGUUAAUAAAACACUCAAAUGCAAACAAUUGUUUUAAAUCAUGGAAAUCCGCUAAUGCACGGGAGCGUUUCACGCGUAUCGCUGGGAAUCUUUUUUUCCUUCCAAUCCCCACAAUCGAUUUCGUUCCAUUUGCCGUGAUGUAUUCAUCCAUACGAAAUACAGGCGACAGAAUAUGUAAAAGGAGGCAACUUUAUCUGGAGAAAAGUUAAGGUGGAGCAGCUGACGAAUAUGCAAAUGGUAUAAGGUGUGUGUGAGUGUGGCCUCCCUUUUCGUCGGCAAAAUGGAAAUACGAUGAGGCUGCCACCGCCGCCGCUGCCGCUGUCUUUCGUCGACCUGAUGCGUGGAAUUAUGAA